This 1410-nucleotide ribosomal RNA is filed under the name Triticum aestivum (bread wheat). Its description in RNAcentral is "partial small subunit ribosomal RNA". The record is from RNAcentral. Lineage: Eukaryota; Viridiplantae; Streptophyta; Magnoliopsida; Poales; Poaceae.
AUGGCCGCGUGGCUGGCGCGCCGGGCCGCCAGGAGGCUCGCUGGCGAGCUGCGCAGCCGUGGACCAGGGCCGUGGCCCUUGAGCUGGUCGACGGUGCCGGUUCUCGGGGUGCCAUCAGGGGACCAAAGCAGGGGGUUCUGCUCCGUCCGGCGCUUCGCAGGAGAUAGCGCCGCCGCCGCUGCCAUCGAGGAGCCGGAGAAUGGACUUGCCGCAGGCGAUCUGCAGUUUGUAGAUUUCCCUGGAGGAAAGCUUUCCUUUGUUGGUGAAAUGAAUUUCCUGCCAGAGUCGCAAAUGGAAAGGAUUAAUUGUUACCGUGUUCUUGACGAUGAUGGUGGGACUAUAUACAGCAGUAGAUUCCAAGAGGUCAGUAAGGAGUUGGCUCUGAAAAUGUACAGUAACAUGGUCACCCUCCAGAUUAUGGACACAAUCUUCUACGAAGCUCAGAGGCAGGGAAGAAUUUCCUUCUAUCUAACUUCCAAUGGUGAAGAAGCAAUCAACAUAGCCUCUGCUGCUGCGCUUAGUGCUCAAGACAUUGUACUACCUCAGUACAGGGAGCCCGGUGUUCUUCUAUGGCGUGGCUUCACACUGCAAGAAUUUGCAAACCAGUUGUUUGGGAACAAGCUGGAUUACGGUAAAGGCAGGCAGAUGCCAAUACAUUACGGAUCAAACCGUCUGAAUUAUUUCACAGUCUCAUCGCCUAUCGCCACUCAGCUCCCUCAAGCUGUUGGCGCUGCCUAUUCUCUCAAGAUGGACAAGAAGAAGGCAUGUGCCAUCACGUAUUUCGGCGAUGGUGGCACGAGCGAGGGAGACUUCCAUGCCGCGCUCAACUUCGCUGCUGUCACGGAAGCGCCAGUGAUCUUCUUCUGCCGCAACAAUGGCUGGGCAAUCAGCACCCCAACCGCCGAACAGUUCAGAAGUGAUGGAGUUGUUACCCGCGGUCAGGCCUACGGAAUACGUAGUAUCAGGGUAGACGGCAACGAUACUCUUGCUGUGUACAGUACAGUCCACACCGCCCGGGAAAUGGCUAUAACUGAAGGAAGGCCUAUUUUAAUCGAGGCGAUGACCUAUCGAGUCGGCCAUCACUCGACAUCCGACGAUUCAACCAAGUACAGGCCGGCUGAUGAGAUGGAGCAUUGGCGAACAGCGAGGGAUCCCGUCUCCAGGUACAGAAAAUGGGUUCAGGGGAAUGGAUGGUGGUGCGACACUCAAGAGUCUGAACUCAGGAACAAUGUGCGGCAAGAGCUCCUGCAAGCCAUUCAGGUGGCCGAGAGGAUGCCAAAACACGGGCUUGCGGAGCUCUUCACUGAUGUUUAUGAUCAAAUGCCUUCCAACCUUCGUGAGCAAGAGCGGUCGCUGCUGGAUACCAUCAAAAAGCAUUCUGCAGAGUAUCCAGCUGAUGUGCCUGUUUAG